AGUUCCGGGAGAGGCUGGAGCUCAUAACCCAGUAGUUCCAGGGGUUGCAGAGUGCGGCAGAAUGUGGUGCGCUCCAGGCGGAUGUCUACAGGGGACUGAAAGCGGCCAGCACAGGCUGGGGACACCUGGGGCCAGAGUAGGGUGCCUGGGAUGAGAGGAAAAGUUCCUGGCUUAGAGCCAAGUACGGUGGCACACACACCUGAAAUCCAAGAACUCGGAGGAAGAAGAGGGUAAAUGGCAGAACUAGUUCAAGGCCAAUCUGAUCUACACAAUAAGACCUUAUCUCACCCUCCGCCCCAGAGCAAACCAAACUUCCUCCACCUGUCUUUUCCCAUACGUCAAACCAUAGUGCUGGAGACUGACUCCAGGGGGCCAUGGGUGCCAUGCAAGCACUCUUUCACUGAGCUUCACUCCCAGAGCUAAACUAGUCAUUCUUCUCUCCAAACUCUGCACUGCCUUUGUGAAUCUCCGUCUUGGUGCCCAGAAUGCCAUGCAUGUUUGCACGCCGUAUUUGUUUAAUACCUACGGUAUGUUAGGCACUGGGCUGUGGACUAGGGAUGCGGAAAUGAAAACGAAGGCUCCUAUCUGAGAAGCUCUCACUCCAGUGAGUGAGGACAGAUGUCAUAAUUCUGCCUCAAGGAACUUUGCCACCGAAUCUGAUGAUCUGAGGUGGAACCCCAAAAUCGACAUGGUGGAAAGAGAGAACCAUCUACUACAAGUUGCCCUCUGCCCCCUGUGUGUGCCAUGGCACAUGCAUGUGCACACACACACACACACCAAAUAGAUGUAAAAUAAAGUCUUUUGAAGAGUG
Molecule: long non-coding RNA, 811 nt
Filed under: Mus caroli (Ryukyu mouse)
Lineage: Eukaryota; Metazoa; Chordata; Mammalia; Rodentia; Muridae
Description: lncRNA (MGP_CAROLIEiJ_G0003497.1)
Source: RNAcentral